This 279-nucleotide unclassified non-coding RNA is filed under the name Hevea brasiliensis (rubber tree). The record is from RNAcentral. Lineage: Eukaryota; Viridiplantae; Streptophyta; Magnoliopsida; Malpighiales; Euphorbiaceae.
GUAGUCACAUGUAAAUAGUUCAUUACAAGACAAGGAAGAGAAAAGCUAAGAAUAACCGCACAAAUUAAUGAACAUUACAUAAACUCUCAAAAGAAAAACAUGCUAACAAACGCCUUUCAGAAAAAUAGGGAAGUCCAGGGCUUCAGCAGCUUAAGCCUAGGAUGUAGCAUUCUAUGAGAUGCAGCCAUAUAUAAAAGUUCAGCAACCAAUAUUAAGUAUGCCAUUCAGUAACUAUUGACAAAGUUACACUUGCAUUACCUCCAAUAUAAUCCGCCCUUU